UACGGAGGGGGCUAGCGUUGUUCGGAAUUACUGGGCGUAAAGCGCACGUAGGCGGCCAACUAAGUCAGACGUGAAAUCCCUCGGCUUAACCGGGGAACUGCGUCUGAUACUGGAUGGCUUGAGGUUGGGAGAGGGAUGCGGAAUUCCAGGUGUAGCGGUGAAAUGCGUAGAUAUCUGGAGGAACACCGGUGGCGAAGGCGGCGUUCUGGACUGCAACUGACACUGAGGAACGAAAGCCAGGGGAGCAAACGGG
Molecule: ribosomal RNA, 253 nt
Filed under: uncultured bacterium
Lineage: Bacteria
Description: partial 16S ribosomal RNA
Rfam family: Bacterial small subunit ribosomal RNA
Source: RNAcentral